Pseudophryne corroboree (corroboree frog) is the source of this 461-nucleotide long non-coding RNA. RefSeq lists it as uncharacterized. The transcript has 3 exons. The record is from RefSeq and is a predicted model, not a curated record. Lineage: Eukaryota; Metazoa; Chordata; Amphibia; Anura; Myobatrachidae.
UGUCCCCUGGUAUACUCACAGGAUUCCUGAGGAGAGACUGCGAGUCGUGUGUCCAGUCCCAGCUGGCCCUGGACACAGAUUUGGUCUCCAAUAAAGACAGAGGAGUUACUAGACCAUGAGGAGAAAAUUGGCCCAUGAUGAAGUGGUAACUGAAGAUGGCUUUGACAAAAGAGGAUAUAACUGAGGUCAUUUUGAUGUUUGGUGAACAAAGUUUCCAUGUCAUAGCUGCAGAUAUUAACAACCUGGCACCCACAAAGACCUCCAAUUUCACAUAACACUGUCAAGUGCCUAAUUUCCAAAUUUCGAGAAACUGGGCCUGUAGCUGACAAGUCACGGAAUGGUCGUUCAAAAAGUGCUACUAACGGGACCACCUCAACAAUGGUUUUGGCAUCCUUCGUGAAGAGCCCACAACGCAGCACAACACCCACACAUUAAGCGACUGUCCUUUAUGGAGAACAGUU